Molecule: ribosomal RNA, 443 nt
Filed under: uncultured Thermaceae bacterium
Lineage: Bacteria; Thermotogati; Deinococcota; Deinococci; Thermales; Thermaceae
Description: bacterial SSU rRNA
Rfam family: Bacterial small subunit ribosomal RNA
Source: RNAcentral
GGAGCAAACCGGAUUAGAUACCCGGGUAGUCCACGCCCUAAACCAUGAGUGCUGGGUGUCCGGCUUCUGCUGGGUGCCGUAGCUAACGCGCUAAGCACUCCGCCUGGGAAGUACGCACGCAAGUGUGAAACUCAAAGGAAUUGACGGGGGCCCGCACAAGCGGUGGAGCAUGUGGUUCAAUUCGACGCAACGCGAAGAACCUUACCCGGGCUUGAAGAGCACGGGACCACCCCGAGAAAUCGGGGUUUCCCGCAAGGGACUCGUGCAGAGGUGCUGCAUGGCUGUCGUCAGCUCGUGUCGUGAGAUGUUGGGUUAAGUCCCGCAACGAGCGCAACCCUUGUCCUUAGUUGCUACCCCCGACGUAAGUCGGGGGGCUCUCUAAGGAGACUGCCCGUGACAAACGGGAGGAAGGUGGGGAUGACGUCAAGUCAGCAUGGCCUUUA